RNAcentral lists this unclassified non-coding RNA (212 nucleotides) under plant metagenome. Its description in RNAcentral is "partial contains small subunit ribosomal RNA, internal transcribed spacer 1, and 5.8S ribosomal RNA". The record is from RNAcentral.
UCUCCGUUGGUGAACCAGCGGAGGGAUCAUUACAGGAUCGGAAGACUCCUAUAACCCCUGUGAACUUACUACAAAUACGUUGCUUCGGCGGGUGCCCCGGGUCUCCCGGGGCGUUCAGCCCGCCGGCAGCCUUCAAAUUCUGUUUCUUUGCGUUGGCAUCUCGAGUAUACAAAAAUAAGUUAAAACUUUCAACAACGGAUCUCUUGGUUCUG